This 253-nucleotide ribosomal RNA is filed under the name uncultured bacterium. RNAcentral's name for it is "partial 16S ribosomal RNA". It matches the Rfam family "Bacterial small subunit ribosomal RNA", at positions 524 to 776 of the family's 1533-position model. The record is from RNAcentral.
UACGAAGGGGGCUAGCGUUGCUCGGAAUCACUGGGCGUAAAGCGCACGUAGGCGGGCUCUUAAGUCGGUGGUGAAAUCCUGGAGCUCAACUCCAGAACUGCCUUCGAUACUGAGAGUCUCGAGUCCGAGAGAGGUGAGUGGAACUGCGAGUGUAGAGGUGAAAUUCGUAGAUAUUCGGAAGAACACCAGUGGCGAAGGCGGCUCACUGGCCCGGUACUGACGCUGAGGUGCGAAAGCGUGGGGAGCAAACAGG